UUUCUUCGGGGCAGGGUGAGAUUCCCUACUGGCGGUGACAGCAAAAGCUGGCAGUCCGCGACCCGCAGAUAAAAAACAGCAGUCCUUCUAAAGAGCAGAUAUGCCUGUAAGGAGGGAAACUGUGCAAAGUUUCUGCGGCUGAUCCGGUGAAAAUCCGGGACCAACAGUAAAGUCUGGAUGAAAGAAGAA
This 189-nucleotide non-coding RNA is filed under the name uncultured Acetatifactor sp. RNAcentral describes it as "FMN riboswitch (RFN element)". It matches the Rfam family "FMN riboswitch aptamer (RFN element)". From Rfam's summary of the family: The RFN element is a highly conserved domain that is found frequently in the 5'-untranslated regions of prokaryotic mRNAs that encode for flavin mononucleotide (FMN) biosynthesis and transport proteins. This element is a metabolite-dependent riboswitch that directly binds FMN in the absence of proteins. Lineage: Bacteria; Bacillati; Bacillota; Clostridia; Lachnospirales; Lachnospiraceae. The record is from RNAcentral.